UCCGAGUUGACCCCGGCAGUCUCCCAUGAGUCCCCGGCAUUACCCGCUGGCAACAUGGGACAAGGGUUGCGCUCGUUGCGGGACUUAACCCAACAUCUCACGACACGAGCUGACGACAACCAUGCACCACCUGUACGCCGCCCUUACGGACCCCACAUCUCUGCAGGUUUUCGGCGUAUGUCAAGCCUUGGUAAGGUUCUUCGCGUUGCGUCGAAUUAAGCCACAUGCUCCGCCGCUUGUGCGGGCCCCCGUCAAUUCCUUUGAGUUUUAGCCUUGCGACCGUACUCCCCAGGCGGAAUGCUUAAUGCGUUAGCGACGGCACCGGGAGGGUCGCUCCCCCCGACGCCUAGUGCCCAUCGUUUACGGCGUGGACUAC
Molecule: unclassified non-coding RNA, 376 nt
Filed under: uncultured Actinomycetes bacterium
Lineage: Bacteria; Bacillati; Actinomycetota; Actinomycetes
Description: uncultured actinobacterium contains 16S-23S intergenic spacer region
Source: RNAcentral